GGUCCGCCCAUCCGUCCUUCACUCUCCUCUCCUCUCCUCACCUCCAUAUCUCCAUGGCCAUGGAGCUUCUUCAGCUUCCUCCUUCUUUCAUAUAUAUACCAGGACCACCAGCUAGCUGGCUGUCUACAAAACAAGCAGGAAAGCUGCUAAGGCUAGCUGCAUAUAUACGAGGAAACCAGCGCAAGAUCCUUGCAUACUACUCCCACACCACACAUAGAUAGGACUAGGACUAGGAGUCGUCCGAUCCAUCCUGGAGCACUCUAUAUAUACACACACACCUAGGGUUUAAUUUGCUUGCUUUAUUAUCUGCUGCUUCUUCAUUCAUUCCCCACUCCCCAGUGGUCGUCGAUCUGAUUUGCCUGCUUUAUUUCUUCUUCUUCUUCACACCGAGCUAGCUAGCUAUCUUGCUUUAAUUUGCCUAGAACGAAUAGAUCCACCGUACUAGCUUCUUGCUCGAUCUGCAGCUUCUCGCUUGUGAGCCAAGAGCCCGGCCAGCAGUGUCGGCCGUGCAGUGGCACUCUCUCCAUCAACAAUCAACCCUCUCUCCGUCGACAUGUGGAAAGGUAGGUAGAGAUAGAUGGUGUGUGUAAUCCGGUUCCUUGGUUCUUGUGUUUCCGAUCUCCUCUAAUUAAUCGAUCUCUCUACCUGGCCAGCUCACUUCACCCAUGCUUGCAUCUAGCUGUUCCAAUCUGAUGCAUGAUAUAGAUGAUGCUUGCGGCCUCUUCUUCUUGAUUCAUAGGCUCAUCAUCUAUGCCUCUGUCAUGCACACACUCGUGUCUUUCUUCUUGAUGGAUACACGUACGGGGGGUUGGGUUGUUCACAUAUAUAGUAGUAUAGCUAGUUUAUUAGAUGCAGGUAUACAGAUCAUGAGGAAGCAAGAAAUUAUGCAAAACAGUCGGUGCUUGCAGGUGCAGCACCAUCAAGAUUCACAUCCCCAGCUCGAUCUGUGCAUGAUGAGAUGAGAAUCUUGAUGAUGCUGCAUCAGCAAACACUCACUUACAUCGAUCUCACCCCUGGACAAGCUGGACAGUGAAACCGGACUGAGCAAUCGAGUACUACUAAAAACUUGUCCUCAGCUCUUUAUGUUUUACUUUCAAUUACCUUGCUUAUAUUAAUUUUCUUUCACUUAAUUUAGUUAAUUACUGCUCUCUCUCUCUCUCUCUGUCUCUCUCUCUCUCUCUCUGGUUUUUUCAUCUUGCAAAAAAAAUGCAGAAAUUAAUAUGUAUAUGUGUACCUCAUGAUUAUUAAGGCCGCUGCACCAUGAUUUUAUGGUAUAUUAUUAUCAGCUUAAAACAGGCUUUCCCUUUUGAUUAUAUUUCAAUAAUUCGUUUAGCAUCAUUAGUUUCUGCAUUUGCCGAUGAUCUCGAGGUUCUGUUUGCAAGAAGUGGCUGCACUGCAGCCCUGCAGCUAUAUAUACACAGGUUCAAGUUACUAAUUUUGUGCUUCUACAAUAAUCCUAUCAGUCCGCAGCUUUCACUUUUAAUUUAGUUUGUUGGCUCUUUCUGUUGUGUUGCACUUCCUUAUAUUUUGAUAUUAAUUAAUAGCCAUAUAGUAUGUGCAGUAUGCAUGCUAGCUCAAUAUAUAUAUCGACCCCAAGCAAACAUAGUCAUUACUAUUAAUUGAUUAAUGUUUGUAUAGGUAAUUAAAGAGUAGUGGCAUCGAUCAUAUCCAUAUAUAUACUUUAUUUCAAAUAAAUAAACCCAAUAUAAUUAAUGUGCAUGCCAACAACGUUAACGUACUCCCGUCCGCAUCACCAUCGUCUGAUUGAGGUAGAGUAUAUAUGCUCAUCUAUCGAUCUUCAUAAUAUUCCCAGUCUCAUCAUUAGUUGAGAUGUCGUGUCAUCAAACUCUUGCUAAUUAACGACUGCAUAUUCUGUUUAACAGCGGCUACUAGCUCCCCGCUGUUGCUGCUGCAAUAUAUGCUUUCCCAGCCCAGGAAUGAAGCUGCAUGCGCAAGGGGCAUACAACACAUGCAUGUGAUAAUAAUGAUAUAAACACAUGAGAAAGAUCGUCAGAACAGUCGACGCCGAAAGGAACCGUGCUAAUUCUCCUCCGAUCGACGACGAUUGAUCUCUCCACCAUGCAGGGCGGCAGGAUCCGCGUCCAACCCGGCCGCACCGUCGUGAAGCUAGCAGAGAAGAUCGCCAAGGACUGGCGGCGGCUCCACACCCGCCCCGGCGAGCAGCUGCUCGUGCUCGAGGGCGAGGACCUCGUCCACGACGGCGCCGUCAUCACCUGAGAGGCGUCGAUCCAUCCAUUUCUGCCAGUACCUGAAGCCAGCAAGAGUGAACUGGACAAUUUAGGUGGCUGUCCCAAAUCAGCAGGGCCCAUGCAUGGACCUAAACAAGACGCUCUGCCACAAUGGUGCAUACACACAUGUAUCAGAAAUAAACCAUGGACAGUGAACUUGGCCAUGCACAUAAAUGCCUGUCUCCAUCAUGGACUGAGAAGCACUUGAGCUCCAAAUCUUGCAGUGCAUCAAAGAGAGAUCCAGUACGUAGUUAGAGAAGAGAAGACUGGCGAAUUAGCUAGCAUAAUCAGGUGAUUAGAAAAGAACGGAAAUGACGGCUGGAUUAGCUAGCACAGGAGCAACAGCGUGGAACUGCUACCUGAGCCUGCAGGGCGGCUGGCCUCUCUGCCUGUCGCGCCGUCGGGUUUCCGCCGGCCCUUCAGCGAGCUCUCCGUCUCCGAACGGCGGCGCGUACUGGCUGGAAGGCAUCGACGGUGGGCAUCAGGAGCAGGACGACGACGAUACCACUGCUCGCCGCUGAACCUGGAGCCUGGCAUGUCCAUCGGAACCCAGCAUGCGUGCGUGCCACUUACAACAAGUGUUCAGAAAUUUUUAGAGCUAGUGGCACUCCAUGGGGGGUGAAACAUGAAAGCAAGCAUGACAUUAUAACCGUCAUGAAUCACAAAUCUCUAUCAUUG
Molecule: long non-coding RNA, 2927 nt
Organism: Zea mays
Lineage: Eukaryota; Viridiplantae; Streptophyta; Magnoliopsida; Poales; Poaceae
Product: MIR172dHG
Exons: 3
Source: RefSeq, marked validated